CGCCAAAGGGGACUUAAAUGAUAUUCUCCAGAACCCAUGUCAUUUCCAUAUUCACCCUUCAGAACUUCUUUAUAUCAAUCGAUCGCAGCCAGAGACAGGCCACCACUUUACUUGCUGAAGCAAACCCCAUUUCUCAGUUUCUUUCUUUUCUAGGCUAGAGCUUGCCUCUCCAUCUCAAACAUGGCAGGAUCUUCCAUCAAACCCACUCC
This 209-nucleotide unclassified non-coding RNA is filed under the name Hevea brasiliensis (rubber tree). The record is from RNAcentral. Lineage: Eukaryota; Viridiplantae; Streptophyta; Magnoliopsida; Malpighiales; Euphorbiaceae.